GAUGAAUAGUUUAGUUGGUUUAUGUGGUUCAGUGUUUAUUUACAUUUGAAAAUGUGGAUUUCUGGAUUUUGUAAAAUAAAAGGUUUUCUACCCCUCGUGGUAGCGUUUUUAACGAAUAAAUGUUUCCGUGUAGGAAACAGUUUUCAAAAGGAUUUUUCGUGGAUUUCUGUUUAAACAUUGAAUGUAAAACUGUGAUGUGAAUGGUGAAUAUAUGAAUGUAUAGUUAUCUUUAUAUUCAUCUAGUGGUGGUU
RNAcentral lists this long non-coding RNA (251 nucleotides) under Ananas comosus (pineapple). RNAcentral describes it as "long non-coding RNA (ACOM_LNC038269)". Lineage: Eukaryota; Viridiplantae; Streptophyta; Magnoliopsida; Poales; Bromeliaceae. The record is from RNAcentral.